RNAcentral lists this transfer RNA (76 nucleotides) under Aquipluma nitroreducens. RNAcentral's name for it is "tRNA-Gln". It matches the Rfam family "tRNA". From Rfam's summary of the family: Transfer RNA (tRNA) molecules are approximately 80 nucleotides in length. Their secondary structure includes four short double-helical elements and three loops (D, anti-codon, and T loops). RNAcentral also lists the same sequence under 1 other name. The record is from RNAcentral. Lineage: Bacteria; Pseudomonadati; Bacteroidota; Bacteroidia; Marinilabiliales; Prolixibacteraceae.
UGUCCUGUGGUGUAAUUGGCAACACGUCUGAUUCUGGAUCAGAAGAGUUCAGGUUCGAGACCUGACAGGACAACAA